AACGAACGCUGGCGGCAUGCCUAACACAUGCAAGUCGAACGAGAUCUUCGGGUCUAGUGGCGCACGGGUGCGUAACGCGUGGGAAUCUGCCCUUUGGUUCGGAAUAACAGUUGGAAACGACUGCUAAUACCGGAUGAUGACGAAAGUCCAAAGAUUUAUCGCAAGAGGAUGAGCCCGCGUAGGAUUAGCUAGUUGGUGUGGUAAAGGCGCACCAAGGCGACGAUCCUUAGCUGGUCUGAGAGGAUGAUCAGCCACACUGGGACUGAGACACGGCCCAGACUCCUACGGGAGGCAGCAGUGGGGAAUAUUGGACAAUGGGCGACAGCCUGAUCCAGCAAUGCCGCGUGAGUGAUGAAGGCCUUAGGGUUGUAAAGCUCUUUUACCCGGGAUGAUAAUGACAGUACCGGGAGAAUAAGCUCCGGCUAACUCCGUGCCAGCAGCCGCCGUAA
This 449-nucleotide ribosomal RNA is filed under the name uncultured bacterium. Its description in RNAcentral is "partial 16S ribosomal RNA". It matches the Rfam family "Bacterial small subunit ribosomal RNA", at positions 29 to 523 of the family's 1533-position model. The record is from RNAcentral.